GCGCCUAUGGUGAAAUGGAUAUCAUACCUGCCUUCGAAGCAGAUGUUCCAGGUUCGAAUCCUGGUAGGCGCA
This 72-nucleotide transfer RNA is filed under the name Candidatus Tayloriibacteriota bacterium. Its description in RNAcentral is "tRNA-Arg". It matches the Rfam family "tRNA". From Rfam's summary of the family: Transfer RNA (tRNA) molecules are approximately 80 nucleotides in length. Their secondary structure includes four short double-helical elements and three loops (D, anti-codon, and T loops). Further hydrogen bonds mediate the characteristic L-shaped molecular structure. tRNAs have two regions of fundamental functional importance: the anti-codon, which is responsible for specific mRNA codon recognition, and the 3' end, to which the tRNAs corresponding amino acid is attached (by aminoacyl-tRNA synthetases). tRNAs cope with the degeneracy of the genetic code in two manners: having more than one tRNA (with a specific anti-codon) for a particular amino acid; and 'wobble' base-pairing, i.e. permitting non-standard base-pairing at the 3rd anti-codon position. The record is from RNAcentral. Lineage: Bacteria; Candidatus Tayloriibacteriota.